This 464-nucleotide ribosomal RNA is filed under the name Vreelandella stevensii. Its description in RNAcentral is "partial 16S ribosomal RNA". It matches the Rfam family "Bacterial small subunit ribosomal RNA", at positions 338 to 795 of the family's 1533-position model. The record is from RNAcentral. Lineage: Bacteria; Pseudomonadati; Pseudomonadota; Gammaproteobacteria; Oceanospirillales; Halomonadaceae.
CCUACGGGUGGCUGCAGUGGGGAAUAUUGGACAAUGGGGGCAACCCUGAUCCAGCCAUGCCGCGUGUGUGAAGAAGGCCCUCGGGUUGUAAAGCACUUUCAGUGAGGAAGAACGCCUGGUGGUUAAUACCCAUCAGGAAAGACAUCACUCACAGAAGAAGCACCGGCUAACUCCGUGCCAGCAGCCGCGGUAAUACGGAGGGUGCGAGCGUUAAUCGGAAUUACUGGGCGUAAAGCGCGCGUAGGUGGCUUGAUAAGCCGGUUGUGAAGCCCCGGGCUCAACCUGGGAACGGCAUCCGGAACUGUCAAGCUAGAGUGCAGGAGAGGAAGGUAGAAUUCCCGGUGUAGCGGUGAAAUGCGUAGAGAUCGGGAGGAAUACCAGUGGCGAAGGCGGCCUUCUGGACUGACACUGACACUGAGGUGCGAAAGCGUGGGUAGCAAACAGGAUUAGAUACCCCAGUAGUC